This 73-nucleotide transfer RNA is filed under the name Aliiruegeria haliotis. It matches the Rfam family "tRNA". Rfam says of the family: Transfer RNA (tRNA) molecules are approximately 80 nucleotides in length. Lineage: Bacteria; Pseudomonadati; Pseudomonadota; Alphaproteobacteria; Rhodobacterales; Roseobacteraceae. The record is from Rfam by way of RNAcentral.
GCCGGUAUAGCUCAGCUGGUAGAGCAUCUGAUUUGUAAUCAGGGGGUCGGGGGUUCAAGUCCCUCUGCCGGCA